RNAcentral lists this long non-coding RNA (1380 nucleotides) under Callithrix jacchus (white-tufted-ear marmoset). RNAcentral describes it as "lncRNA (ENSCJAG00000076052.1)". The record is from RNAcentral. Lineage: Eukaryota; Metazoa; Chordata; Mammalia; Primates; Cebidae.
GUGCCUCAGGGGCUGCAUCCUGAUAGGGAUCAGACACCACUGGAAUUCUCUCCAAUAAAAGCUUACUUCAGGAAUUGAACCUAUACCCAGCUGAAGAGUAACUCAUUUAUAACCUGGCAGGAUCCACAAUUGCACCAGCCCCUCCACCAAGUAAGACAAUAAGAUUUGCAUUUCAGAUCCUUUCUUUAAAAACCCCUGGGUUCCCCCUACAAAUUGAAGAGUGGAAUUGUUUGCUGCCCUUCCCCUGCUAGCAUGGAAGCUAGCAGAUUUUUCUUUAUUAUCGGUUCUUUCUACAAGCCGCAAGCAGCCAGACGUUUUUGCAGGUUACAGGCUGACACAUCCAGUUCCUUAGAAAAAAACAUUUAAUAAGGGCUUAUAAACAGAAACCACAUCUGUGUCUCCCUGUGGUUUCCCAUGCUUCUCCCUCAGGCCCAGAGCUUGCAGACCAUAGGGGAAUGGUCAUUCAGAAGGGAUGUGCAGGACAGUUGAAGUAUGAUAACAUCAAGGUUGUUUGACCUAAGGGCUGGAUUUACAGUAGGUGCUUGCUCUCAUACAAGGAGCAAUAGAUAACCUGGGAAUCUCAGGGGCCUUCUGGGAGGCUCAGAAGCCAACUUAGCUGAAACAGUGGAUUCACAUCCAACAUGGAGUUGGCUUUAGCCUCCACAAGGACUUCUUCCAACCUCUUUUGGGGCCCCUCGCUUGCUUGAAAUCUGAUGUUCAGACCAAUUUUUGUAUUGGGUAAUAGCACUACUGGAGUACUGGGUAACACCUCAGCCCAUCCUCAGUCUCUCACACCUCUGUGUCACUUGGCUCAUAUGAGGCCAUCUCCAGGUGGACCAAAGAUGAGAGGAUAUGGGAGAUAGACUGUCCAUCACUUUUUCCUGGAGACUGACACCUGCUUCAAAGCGUGUGUGUGUGUGUGUGUGUGUGUGUGUAUGUGUGUGUAUGUGUGUGCAUGCACUUGCAGUCAUAUACGAUUUGCAGUGGCCAGUCUGUGGAUUUGGAUUUCAUUAUGCUGUUGAGCAUGUGUCUGUGAGUCUGUUUGCCAGGUGCAUAUGUGUGCUUGGGACUGUGUGGGCAUCCCUGGAGCCCUGUGCUUGUUCUUGGAGAAGCCCAAAGAAGAGGGGCUCAGGACAUUUCUGGCUGGCAACACCCCACCUCCAGGCCUGCUACCCCACCUCCCCGACCACACCCCAUCCUGCCUAUAUUGUAGUUUGUACUUUCAUUUGGUGGUUCCUGUUCCUGUGCUCUUGUCCAGUGUUCAAGAAGAAUGAGGAUUCGCUGACAGUUGAAGGUCGCCCACUACCGCAAAUUAUGCAGUCGAGUUUCCCACAUUUGGGGAAAUCGCAGGGGUCAGCACAUCCAGAGUGCAAUGGAUAA